Molecule: ribosomal RNA, 491 nt
Filed under: uncultured bacterium
Lineage: Bacteria
Description: partial 16S ribosomal RNA
Rfam family: Bacterial small subunit ribosomal RNA
Source: RNAcentral
AGUGAACGCUGCGGUAGGCCUAACACAUGCAAGUCGAACGGCAGCACAGUAAGAGCUUGCUCUUACGGGUGGCGAGUGGCGGACGGGUGAGGAAUACAUCGGAAUCUACUUUUUCGUGGGGGAUAACGUAGGGAAACUUACGCUAAUACCGCAUACGACCUACGGGUGAAAGCAGGGGAUCUUCGGACCUUGCGCGAUUGAAUGAGCCGAUGUCGGAUUAGCUAGUUGGCGGGGUAAAGGCCCACCAAGGCGACGAUCCGUAGCUGGUCUGAGAGGAUGAUCAGCCACACUGGAACUGAGACACGGUCCAGACUCCUACGGGAGGCAGCAGUGGGGAAUAUUGGACAAUGGGCGCAAGCCUGAUCCAGCCAUACCGCGUGGGUGAAGAAGGCCUUCGGGUUGUAAAGCCCUUUUGUUGGGAAAGAAAAGCAGCAGGUUAAUACCCCGCUGUCCUGACGGUACCCAAAGAAUAAGCACCGGCUAACUUCGUG